UCCAGCGCACUCACCUAUCCACUAAACAGCAACUUCAAUGUUGAAAGAUUUUAUUUGUUUUUUUUUUUGUUUUAAAACACCUAAUCUAGGCGUUAUUUUUGCCUAGAUUAGGUGUUUUUAAAAAAAAUAAAUAAAUAAAAUCUUUCAACAUUGAAGUUGCUGUUUAGUGGAUAGGUGAGUGCGCUGGA
Molecule: non-coding RNA, 188 nt
Organism: Pelobates cultripes (western spadefoot toad)
Lineage: Eukaryota; Metazoa; Chordata; Amphibia; Anura; Pelobatidae
Source: the annotation of a GenBank genome assembly